This 515-nucleotide ribosomal RNA is filed under the name uncultured bacterium. RNAcentral describes it as "bacterial SSU rRNA". It matches the Rfam family "Bacterial small subunit ribosomal RNA", at positions 40 to 518 of the family's 1533-position model. The record is from RNAcentral.
CGGCGCACAUAAGACAUGCAAGUCGAACGGAAGUCGUUAUACUGAAUUUGAAAUGAACUGUGAACUUGUUCAGAGGGACUUGAUGAUGAUUAUAACAAUGGCUUUAGUGGCGGACUGGUGAGUAACGCGUAGGUAAUCUGCCUAACAGAGGGGAAUAACAGUGAGAAAUCAUUGCUAAUACCGCAUAUGCUCACGGUACCACAUGGUACAGUGAGGAAAGGAGAAAUCCGCUGAUAGAUGAGCCUGCGUCUGAUUAGCUAGUUGGUUAGGUAACGGCUGACCAAGGCAACGAUCAGUAGCCGGACUGAGAGGUUAAACGGCCACAUUGGGACUGAGAUACGGCCCAGACUCCUACGGGAGGCAGCAGUCGGGAAUAUUGCGCAAUGGAAGGAAACUCUGACGCAGUGACGCCGCGUAUAGGAAGAAGGUUUUCGGAUUGUAAACUAUUGUCGUUAGGGAAGAUAAAAGACAGUACCUAAGGAGGAAGCCCCGGCUAACUAUGUGCCAGCCGCAGC